This 402-nucleotide ribosomal RNA is filed under the name uncultured bacterium. RNAcentral describes it as "partial 16S ribosomal RNA". It matches the Rfam family "Bacterial small subunit ribosomal RNA", at positions 355 to 774 of the family's 1533-position model. The record is from RNAcentral.
UGGGGAAUAUUGGACAAUGGGCGAAAGCCUGAUCCAGCCAUGCCGCAUGAGUGAAGAAGGCCUUUGGGUUGUAAAGCUCUUUUAGUGAGGAAGAUAAUGACGGUACUCACAGAAGAAGUCCUGGCUAACUCCGUGCCAGCCGCCGCGGUAAUACGGAGAGGGCUAGCGUUAUUCGGAAUUAUUGGGCGUAAAGGGCGCGUAGGCUGGUUAAUAAGUUAAAAGAGAAAUCCCGAGGCUUAACCUUGGAAUUGCUUUUAAAACUAUUAAUCUAGAGAUUGAAAGAGGAUAGAGGAAUUCCUGAUGUAGAGGUAAAAUUCGUAAAUAUUAGGAGGAACACCAGUGGCGAAGGCGUCUAUCUGGUUCAAAUCUGACGCUGAAGCGCGAAGGCGUGGGGAGCAAACA